AGCAAAGUCAGCUAAAUAAGCUUUUAGGCCCAUACCCUAACCAUGACGGUUAAACUCCCUCCUUUGCUA
RNAcentral lists this transfer RNA (69 nucleotides) under Myctophum nitidulum (pearly lanternfish). RNAcentral's name for it is "tRNA-Met". Lineage: Eukaryota; Metazoa; Chordata; Actinopteri; Myctophiformes; Myctophidae. The record is from RNAcentral.